AAUCCAUGGUUAGGGCAUUUACGUAUCAUAGAUUUGUAACGUUCCCAGGCUUCAUUUAGAGUUUCAUUUGUACUUUGAGCGAACACUGCAAUAGAUGUUUUGGCCU
This 106-nucleotide small nucleolar RNA is filed under the name Trifolium pratense (red clover). Its description in RNAcentral is "snoRNA snoR71". The record is from RNAcentral. Lineage: Eukaryota; Viridiplantae; Streptophyta; Magnoliopsida; Fabales; Fabaceae.